RNAcentral lists this long non-coding RNA (286 nucleotides) under Homo sapiens (human). RNAcentral describes it as "LHRI_LNC1164.1". Lineage: Eukaryota; Metazoa; Chordata; Mammalia; Primates; Hominidae. The record is from RNAcentral.
GAAAGAAAGAAACUAUAUUCUGCAACCAUACUGUAAUAAAAUUAGAACUUGAUAACUAAAAUAUACUUAAAAUUGUAAGUGAACAAAUAUAUUUAUCAGUAACAUGGAUUUAAAAGGCAGUCGUGGAUGGGAGCAUCGCUGGAGUCCAGAAGAUGGAGGCUGCAGUGAGGCAUGAUUGCGUCACUGCACUCCAGCCUCAGCAAUAGAGUGGGACCCUGUGUCAAAUAAAUAAACAGCAGUUAUAAAGAAAAUUAACUCUUUUAGAACCAGGUGUUAAAAAUGUUAC